GACGAACGCUGGCGGCGUGCUUAACACAUGCAAGUCGAACGGAAAGGCCCUGCUUUUGUGGGGUGCUCGAGUGGCGAACGGGUGAGUAACACGUGAGUAACCUGCCCUUGACUUUGGGAUAACUUCAGGAAACUGGGGCUAAUACCGGAUAGGAGCUCCUGCUGCAUGGUUGGGGUUGGAAAGUUUCGGCGGUUUGGGAUGGACUCGCGGCUUAUCAGCUUGUUGGUGGGGUAGUGGCUUACCAAGGCUUUGACGGGUAGCCGGCCUGAGAGGGUGACCGGCCACAUUGGGACUGAGAUACGGCCCAGACUCCUACGGGAGGCAGCAGUGGGGAAUAUUGCACAAUGGGCGGAAGCCUGAUGCAGCAACGCCGCGUGCGGGAUGACGGCCUUCGGGUUGUAAACCGCUUUCGCCUGUAACGAAGCGUGAGUGACGGUAAUGGGUAAAGAAGCACCGGCUAACUACGUG
Molecule: ribosomal RNA, 468 nt
Filed under: uncultured bacterium
Lineage: Bacteria
Description: partial 16S ribosomal RNA
Rfam family: Bacterial small subunit ribosomal RNA
Source: RNAcentral